UGAGGAAUAUUGGUCAAUGGGCGGAAGCCUGAACCAGCCAAGUAGCGUGAAGGAUGACUGCCCUAUGGGUUGUAAACUUCUUUUACAAGGGAAUAAUUGUGGGUACGCGUACCCGUUUGCAUGUACCUUAUGAAUAAGGAUCGGCUAACUCCGUGCCAGCAGCCGCGGUAAUACGGAGGAUCCGAGCGUUAUCCGGAUUUAUUGGGUUUAAAGGGAGCGUAGGCGGGCGCUUAAGUCAGCCGUGAAAGUUUGGGGCUCAACCUUAAAAUUGCAGUUGAUACUGGGUGCCUUGAGUGCAGUAUAGGCAGGCGGAAUUCGUGGUGUAGCGGUGAAAUGCUUAGAUAUCACGAAGAACUCCUAUUGCGAAGGCAGCUUGCUGGAGUGUAACUGACGCUGAUGCUCGAAAGUGUGGGUAUCAAACAGGAUUAGAUACCCUGGUAGUCCACACAGUAAACGAUGAAUACUCGCUGUUUGCGAUAUACUGCAAGCGGCCAAGCGAAAGCGUUAAGUAUUCCACCUGGGGAGUACGCCGGCAACGGUG
RNAcentral lists this ribosomal RNA (541 nucleotides) under uncultured bacterium. RNAcentral's name for it is "bacterial SSU rRNA". It matches the Rfam family "Bacterial small subunit ribosomal RNA", at positions 355 to 896 of the family's 1533-position model. The record is from RNAcentral.